This is an RNA transcript of Panicum hallii, 1372 nucleotides long. It is a transcript of the gene named MADS-box transcription factor 51-like, with no coding region annotated. NCBI's taxonomy places the organism in Eukaryota, Viridiplantae, Streptophyta, Magnoliopsida, Poales, Poaceae. The record is from RefSeq and is a predicted model, not a curated record. The transcript is spliced from 4 exons.
CUUUACCCAUGACCCAUCAGUCGAGCUCGAGCAGGAGAUGGAGAUGUGGAGCAGUGGAGGAGGCGACAUGGAGCCCACCCUCCUGCUGGUUGUUGCCUGCCAUCCACAACUUUCGCAGGAAUGCAUCGCCCCUAGCUCGCUCGCUCGCCUCGAUCCCCAAGACCAAGAUUUGUUCCGAUCCUCUCUUUAUAUCCUUCCGACCUGCUGCCUCCGUCCGGUUCAUCCAUCCCAGCAGUGAAGUGCCAGUGAGCUCUCCUGUUCAUUGCGAGGUUGGUAUUGUCUUGGCGCUGUUGGGCGAAACGAAUGGUGCGGGAGGAGGCUAUGGCCGCGAGGAGGGCGGAGCUUCAGCUGCUGCAGCAUCUGGAGGAGGAGGAGGAGAGCAAGGGGAAGAGGAAGCGCGGCCGGGUGGAGCUGCGGCGGAUCGAGGACCGGACCAGCCGGCAGGUGCGCUUCUCGAAGCGCCGGACCGGGCUGUUCAAGAAGGCCUACGAGCUCUCCGUGCUCUGCGACGCCCAGGUCGCGCUCAUCGUCUUCUCCCCCGCCGGCCGCCUCUACGAGUUCGCCUCCUCCACCUCCAGCGUUGAAGAAAUUUUUGGUCGAUACUGGGACCUUGCCAACACAAUAAAUGAUCUCAAUAUUGAAGCAAGAGACUCAACGGUUGACUGCAAUAUACAGGGCAAUGGAAGCAGAUGCGGACGAGAUGAGCAUGACCCAGAUAAGCAACUUGGAGGAAACAGUAACCGACGCUCUGGCAGCUAUCAGGGUCAUAAUGCACAAUUGAUAUUUCUUCUAAUAGAACUGCAUGAACUUGACCUGCAUCACGAUCGUGCAACGUUCAUAUGCCGCACACGGUAGAUUUCUGAGAUCAUCUUAAUUUGGUAAUUGCAGAAUAAACUGAGGAUGAAGGUGGUUGGGUUGCCCCAACCCUAUGUUUAGGUAUGAAACUAGUUUGUGCAGCAGGAAAAAGGAUUUUUGAUAAGAAGAAGGCCUCUGAAUACGAAAGGAGGGACCAUGCAGUGGACUCCUAUCUGGAGAAAGAGCAGUGCGCAACUGGAAAUGGGAGCCGCAUACGGCAUACAGUAUAUUUCCCAGCUUCAAGCCUGCAGACAUAUAUGCCGAGAAACAGGUUAAGCUGGGGCCCUAUAGUCGUGAUCAGCAACUGUCAACUUAGGAAACUAGUUUCCCUUGAACAUGGUCCUGAAUCUGUCAAACACUUCCAGCAUGUUGCGUGUUGAUACUUUCACUGCAGUUGCACACGCACAGCAAGCGUUUAACUUUCUGACUGUGUGUGUGCUUGCAUAGAACGUGGAAAAGAUGAUGAUUUACGUGUAAGAACCCACUCUACGAAAAAGUAGUGUUUUGUUGAUUGAAA